CUCUAGUGGCGGACGGGUGAGUAACACGUGAGAAUUUACCUUUAGGAGGGGGAUAACAAUUGGAAACGAAUGCUAAUACCCCAUAUGCUUCAGAGUGAAAUGGAUUUAUAUUUAUCCGCCUAAAGAGAAGCUCGCGGCUGAUUAGCUUGUUGGUAAGGUAAGAGCUUACCAAGGCGACGAUCAGUAUCUGGUUUGAGAGGACGAUCAGACACACUGGAACUGAGACACGGUCCAGACUCCUACGGGAGGCAGCAGUGGGGAAUUUUCCGCAAUGGGCGAAAGCCUGACGGAGCAAUACCGCGUGAGGGAAGACUGCCUAUGGGUUGUAAACCUCUUUUUUCAGGGAGGAAUAAAAUGACGUGUACCUGAAGAAUAAGCAUCGGCUAACUCCGUGCCAGCAGCCGCGGUAAGACGGAGGAUGCAAGUGUUAUCCGGAAUCACUGGGCGUAAAGCGUCUGUAGGUGGUUUAAUAAGUCAACUGUUAAAUCUUGAGGCUCAACUU
Molecule: ribosomal RNA, 502 nt
Filed under: uncultured Thalassiosira
Lineage: Eukaryota; Bacillariophyta; Thalassiosirophyceae; Thalassiosirales; Thalassiosiraceae
Description: bacterial SSU rRNA
Rfam family: Bacterial small subunit ribosomal RNA
Source: RNAcentral